This 486-nucleotide ribosomal RNA is filed under the name uncultured bacterium. RNAcentral's name for it is "partial 16S ribosomal RNA". It matches the Rfam family "Bacterial small subunit ribosomal RNA", at positions 28 to 523 of the family's 1533-position model. The record is from RNAcentral.
GAUGAACGCUGGCGGCGUGCUUAACACAUGCAAGCUGAACGGAAAGGCCCCAGCUUGCUGGGGUACUCGAGUGGCGAACGGGUGAGUAACACGUGGGUGAUCUGCCCUGCACUUUGGGAUAAGCUUGGGAAACUGGGUCUAAUACCGAAUAUGACCACUUCUUGGAUGUUGUGGUGGAAAGCUUUUGCGGUGUGGGAUGAGCCUGCGGCCUAUCAGCUUGUUGGUGGGGUAAUGGCCUACCAAGGCGGCGACGGGUAUCCGGCCUGAGAGGGUGUACGGACACAUUGGGACUGAGAUACGGCCCAGACUCCUACGGGAGGCAGCAGUGGGGAAUAUUGCACAAUGGGCGCAAGCCUGAUGCAGUGACGCCGCGUGGGGGAUGAAGGCCUUCGGGUUGUAAACUCCUUUCGCUAUCGACGAAGCCACUUGUGGUGACGGUAGGUAGAUAAGAAGCACCGGCUAACUACGUGCCAGCCGCCGCUGUAA